UACGAAGGGGGCUAGCGUUGUUCGGAUUUACUGGGCGUAAAGCGCGCGUAGGCGGAUUGUUAAGUCAGGGGUGAAAGCCCGAAGCUCAACUUCGGAACUGCCUUUGAUACUGGCGAUCUAGAGUCCGGGAGAGGUGAGUGGAACUGCGAGUGUAGAGGUGAAAUUCGUAGAUAUUCGCAAGAACACCAGUGGCGAAGGCGGCUCACUGGCCCGGAACUGACGCUGAGGUGCGAAAGCGUGGGGAGCAAACAGG
This 253-nucleotide ribosomal RNA is filed under the name uncultured bacterium. Its description in RNAcentral is "partial 16S ribosomal RNA". It matches the Rfam family "Bacterial small subunit ribosomal RNA", at positions 524 to 776 of the family's 1533-position model. The record is from RNAcentral.